Molecule: ribosomal RNA, 488 nt
Filed under: Rhipiphoridae sp. UPOL ZL0214
Lineage: Eukaryota; Metazoa; Arthropoda; Insecta; Coleoptera; Ripiphoridae
Description: partial 16S ribosomal RNA
Rfam family: Bacterial large subunit ribosomal RNA (bases 362-488)
Source: RNAcentral
UUUAAAGUCUAGUCUGCCCAAUGAAGAUUAAAUGGCCGUAGUAUUUUGACUGUGUUAAGGUAGCAUAAUCAUUAGUUUUUUAAUUAAAAACCGGUAUGAAUGGCUGGAUAAGAAAAUUUCUGUCUCAUUAUUAAAUUUAGAAUUUUAUUUUUAAGUUAAAAAGCUUAAAUUAUUUAAAAAGACGAGAAGACCCUAUAGAUUUUUAUAUUAAUUUUUUAUAUAAAUAUAGAUUUUUAUUUAUAUUUUAAUAUUAAUAUUUGGUUGGGGUGACUUAUAAAUUUAAAAAACUUUAUAAAUUUAUUAUACUAAUAAGUAAAUUGUUGAUCCUAAAUUUUGGAUUAUAAGAAAAAAUUACCUUAGGGAUAACAGCGUAAUUUUUUUUGAAAGUUCUUAUUAAAAAAAAAGUUUGCGACCUCGAUGUUGGAUUAAAAUUUAUUUUUGGUGAAGAAGCUAGAAUAUUAGGUCUGUUCGACCUUUAAAAUUUUACA